CUGCUCAACAACAGGAAAAUUGUUCCUGGUACAGGAAACCUAGCCAGUUACCCAGGGCUCAUACAUUCAUGGAUGUUGGAGAAGAACUUAACUACCACUACUCUACUAAGCCAGCAUAAUUGCUAACACCAUUCUAAAUAUUUGUCUUUGUGCCCACAGCUAAUUGCAGUCCUCACUCCUCAUUAAAGAAAUUUAUCUUUGCAACAAAUAGAGAUCAUUACUGAAAACCACAGCUAAUCAAAAGGCAAAGCUAAGGAGCCUAGCCACAGUGAAUGCAUUUAUAAAAUCCUCCCAUCCGUAAGGCUCAGGGAACAUUGUGGAAGGGGCAGAAAGACUGUAAGAUCCAGAGGAUGAGAGGGUGUGCUAUGAGACUGUCAGCAAACAACCUGGGUUUGUCUAAGAAUGUCAGCAGCUACAUCCAUAAAGCCUGACAACAGAACCGCCUAAGUGAGCCGACCAAGGACACCAACAGUAGACUGCCAAGUGGAGUGCAGAGAAACCAGGAGUCCCCAACCCUACAGAAAGAACUAAAGCAGCAAAGGAUUGCUGAGAGCAAGAAGGAUAGUCUUCCCAGUGUCGCAGCAAUGCUGAUUGCCAAUGACUUUGAGAGCAAACCUGAUCAGAACAGGCAGUUCCAGGAACAAAUAUGGAGCUUGCUUAAUUAAAAGAGGAGUCCAAUGCAGCAUUCUUGUGGGUUGUUUCAUUCAGUCUACAGAAAGAGCAUUCUUAUUCUCUAGUGGAGGUUAUUUGUGGUGAAUUUGACUGAAUUUCCUAUUAAAAGAAAGAAAAAUGUCAACACAAAGAAGACAAUUUAUAAGUCCAGUUAUACAAGCCCAAUCUGAGCCUUCUGUUUAUUAUAAUAAAUAAUC
This is a long non-coding RNA of Mesocricetus auratus (golden hamster), 869 nucleotides long. RefSeq lists it as uncharacterized. The transcript has 3 exons. Lineage: Eukaryota; Metazoa; Chordata; Mammalia; Rodentia; Cricetidae. The record is from RefSeq and is a predicted model, not a curated record.